RNAcentral lists this ribosomal RNA (496 nucleotides) under uncultured bacterium. RNAcentral's name for it is "bacterial SSU rRNA". It matches the Rfam family "Bacterial small subunit ribosomal RNA", at positions 28 to 513 of the family's 1533-position model. The record is from RNAcentral.
GAUGAACGCUAGCGGCAGGCUUAAUACAUGCAAGUCGUGGGGCAGCAUGAGUAGCAAUACUUGAUGGCGACCGGCAAACGGGUGAGGAACACGUACACAACCUUCCUUCAAGCGGGGAAUAGCCCAGAGAAAUUUGGAUUAAUACCCCAUAAUAUAUUUGAUAAGGCAUCUUAUUAAUAAUUAAAGCUUUCGGCACUUGAUGAUGGGUGUGCGGCUGAUUAGAUAGUUGGCGGGGUAACGGCCCACCAAGUCUACGAUCAGUAGCUGAUGUGAGAGCAUGAUCAGCCACACGGGCACUGAGACACGGGCCCGACUCCUACGGGAGGCAGCAGUAAGGAUAUUGGACAAUGGACGAAAGUCUGAUCCAGCCAUGCCGCGUGAAGGAUUAAGGUCCUCUCGGAUUGUAAACUUCUUUUAUAUUGGGACGAAAAAGGGCAUUACUUGGUUUCACUUGACGGUACCAUAUGAAUAAGCACCGGCUAACUCCGUGCCAGCA